RNAcentral lists this ribosomal RNA (501 nucleotides) under uncultured bacterium. RNAcentral's name for it is "partial 16S ribosomal RNA". It matches the Rfam family "Bacterial small subunit ribosomal RNA", at positions 30 to 523 of the family's 1533-position model. The record is from RNAcentral.
AUUGAACGCUGGCGGCAGGCUUAACACAUGCAAGUCGAGCGGAGCGAAGGUGCUUGCACCUUAGCUUAGCGGCGGACGGGUGAGUAAUGCUUAGGAAUCUGCCUAUUAGUGGGGGACAACGUUUCGAAAGGAACGCUAAUACCGCAUACGUCCUACGGGAGAAAGCAGGGGAUCUUCGGACCUUGUGCUAAUAGAUGAGCCUAAGUCGGAUUAGCUAGUUGGUGGGGUAAAGGCCUACCAAGGCGACGAUCUGUAGCGGGUCUGAGAGGAUGAUCCGCCACACUGGGACUGAGACACGGCCCAGACUCCUACGGGAGGAAGCAGUGGGGAAUAUUGGACAAUGGGCGAAAGCCUGAUCUCGCCAUGCCGCGUGUGUGAAGGAGGCCUUUUGGUUGUAAAGCACUUUAAGCGAGGAGGAGGAGCUUCAGGUUAAUACCCUGGAUGCUUGGACGUUACUCGCAGAAUAAGCACCGGCUAACUCUGUGCCAGCCGCCGCCGUAA